AUAUAUAUAUAUAUAUAUAUAUCACUUGUGUACCAUGGUUUUUCUUGCGUUGAUAAUGAAAGUGGAUACUGUUGUUUAUGGAUAGUAUUGAGAUAUAGCUUGUGUUGCAGAUUUCCUCUCAGUACAUACUCUGUUCCGGUUUCCAUGCUAAAUGCUGCAUGGUUGAACUCAAAAAGCAGCCAUCAUGGAGUUGGGAGCUCACAGUGUAGUGCUUGAAGGGGAUUCAUUCACUCUUGCGUGCUGGAUUAAUGUUGCAAGCAAGGCUCAACAUUCCUUUCUCAGGAACAUCAAGAGAGCUGGCGCAACCUUGUUGGAAUUGUCCACAAUUUUUGUGAAGCAAAUCAGGCAGCUGACUUUCUCGCCAUGUUUAGACUUAAAACUUUCCUCAGCUUUCUAAUUUGACCUUCGCUGAUUCUGUUGUCGAUUGUUUUCUUAGAUUGCAAUGUUGGGGCCUGAUUCCCCCACUGGGAAAAAACAAAAAAUCUACCAUGUAGUUGUGAUGUGAGUAAUUUAAUCAUGCAUCCUUUACAAUGAUAAUGACUUGCUGGGAUUCACUCACCUUUUUAUAUAUGUAUGUAUGAAUGAAUGAAUGAUUAGACUACAAGCAAAAAAUGGUUUAACUCG
This 624-nucleotide long non-coding RNA is filed under the name Elaeis guineensis (African oil palm). RNAcentral describes it as "long non-coding RNA (EGUI_LNC075357)". Lineage: Eukaryota; Viridiplantae; Streptophyta; Magnoliopsida; Arecales; Arecaceae. The record is from RNAcentral.